GAGUUUGAUCCUGGCUCAGGACGAACGCUGGCGGCGUGCCUAAUACAUGCAAGUCGAGCGGAUCUUCAUUAGCUUGCUUUUGAAGAUCAGCGGCGGACGGGUGAGUAACACGUGGGCAACCUGCCUGUAAGACUGGGAUAACUUCGGGAAACCGGAGCUAAUACCGGAUGAUCCUUUUCCUCUCAUGAGGAAAAGCUGAAAGACGGUUUCGGCUGUCACUUACAGAUGGGCCCGCGGCGCAUUAGCUAGUUGGUGAGGUAACGGCUCACCAAGGCGACGAUGCGUAGCCGACCUGAGAGGGUGAUCGGCCACACUGGGACUGAGACACGGCCCAGACUCCUACGGGAGGCAGCAGUAGGGAAUCGUUCCGCAAUGGACGAAAGUCUGACGGAGCAACGCCGCGUGAGCGAUGAAGGCCUUCGGUCGUAA
This 429-nucleotide ribosomal RNA is filed under the name uncultured microorganism. Its description in RNAcentral is "bacterial SSU rRNA". It matches the Rfam family "Bacterial small subunit ribosomal RNA", at positions 9 to 428 of the family's 1533-position model. The record is from RNAcentral.